GGUGGCGAUUGCACGAAGGCUACACCUGUUCCCAGGCCGAACACAGAAGUUAAGCUUCGUUACGCCAAGAGUAGUUGGGGGAUCGCCCCCUGUGAGGGUAGGGCGCUGCC
Molecule: ribosomal RNA, 110 nt
Filed under: Ligilactobacillus salitolerans
Lineage: Bacteria; Bacillati; Bacillota; Bacilli; Lactobacillales; Lactobacillaceae
Source: RNAcentral